RNAcentral lists this long non-coding RNA (1328 nucleotides) under Monodelphis domestica (gray short-tailed opossum). RNAcentral describes it as "lncRNA (ENSMODG00000039384.1)". Lineage: Eukaryota; Metazoa; Chordata; Mammalia; Didelphimorphia; Didelphidae. The record is from RNAcentral.
AUGUAUGCCUUCCUUGUCUUUUUCCAAGUCAUUGAUAAAUUGAUUUAUGAAAGAAGGAAGGAAGGAAGGAAGGAAGGAAGGAAGGAAGGAAGGAAGGAAGGAAGGAAGGAAGGAAGGAAGGAAGGAAAAAGAGAGAAAAGAAAGAAAGAAAGAAAGAGAGAGAGAAAGAAAGAGAGAGAGAAAGAAAGAGAGAGAGAAAGAGAAAGAAGUAAACAGAGGAAGGAAGGAAGGAAGGAAGGAAGGAAGGAAGGAAGGAAGGAAGGAAGGAAGGAAGGAAGGAAGGAAGAAUGCUGCUCCAACUAUGUAGGAAGCCAGCUCAAUGUCCAUGAGCCACAUACUCUUCUAUAAUAAUGAUGCUAACUACUACUACUACUAAAUGUAAUAAUAAUAGUAUAUGUAACAUAUAAUAAUGAUAAUAACAAUAAUCAAAAAGCUUCACAUUGUUUUAGCUUAUUUGAUCCUCUUAAUGAUACUAUGAGAAAAGUGCUAGUAUUGGAAAUCAUGUCCUUCUCCAGCACUGAAUCCACUAUGCAUCAUAAAUGCAAAGUUGUUGGUUUUGUGGGGAUGAUGGGAGUGAGGUAGAAGACUCAUAAUGGACAGGGACUAAGGAAAGGCCUCCAAGGUAGUCCUUGAGUAAGCCUUGAAUAGGGAGAUAUUCUCAGAUGAAAGGAAGAUUCACACUGGGAGACCAGCAGAACUGUGGAAAGGGGGCCAUUUUUCCAAAUGAAAAGAAUGACUGUCUCAGCUGGCUGUCUAGGAAGUGAUCAAACUCCAAAGUAUUUGUAUAAACAUUCUGGCCUAAGGCAGCUUCCCCUCCCAAACCACAGAAGCCUGGCUGGUUUCCUCUAAAUGCUAAUUUAUAGCCCACAAAUGUUAAUGAAUCUUUGGGUAUAAGUCUAGACAUUCAGUGAAUCUUUGAUAUUUCUAGUAUAGCUAGACUUGGGCAUCUCUUCUGGGUUCUACGUAUUUCCCAGUUGGUCCAGCAGAUCCAGUGAGUUUUUGUAGGAAAACUUCACUGUGGCAAAAGUGGGAAAUGUUUCUUUUCAUCUCCUUAAUUAUAACUGCAUUUGGUCUCCCUCAGAGCUUUUCCAUGAGUACGACGGAAUGAGCAGCAGCUCUAUAACAAGAAUACUUGGGUUCUAAUUCUAUUUCUAUUGUUUACUCUCAUUCUCUUUGAGGACUUGCCACAUUUUGUUGUGAUACAUAGUCAAAGGUUUUAGUGUAAUCAAUAAGCAUAUAAAUAUAUAACAUAUAUGCAUGUAUGCAUGUUUUGCAUAUAUAAAUUCCAAGUUAAUAAAUACAAAUAUAUACAUGUUUAUUUGGGAGGU